GACCCAGUAGCGGAUCGUCCGCGCCCGCGCCUCAUAAUCAAAUGAUAAUGCACGCGGGAGUCCUUGGUUUGACUCCAGGCUGGGUCA
Non-coding RNA from Mycena latifolia, 87 nucleotides. Lineage: Eukaryota; Fungi; Basidiomycota; Agaricomycetes; Agaricales; Mycenaceae. The record is from the annotation of a GenBank genome assembly.